AUGAAUCUACGCAUGUGUUAAAACUCAUAGAACUGCUUAUCAGUUUAAUAUCUGAUACGUCCUCUAUCUGAGGACAAUAUAUUAAAUGGAUUUUUGGAGCAGGGAGAUGGAAUAGGAGCUUGCUCUGUCAACUCCACGCAUUGACCUGGUACUGCAGUACUUACAGGAACAGUGCACCCCCU
Diceros bicornis minor is the source of this 182-nucleotide small nuclear RNA. RefSeq annotates it as U2 spliceosomal RNA. The transcript has a single exon. The record is from RefSeq and is a predicted model, not a curated record. Lineage: Eukaryota; Metazoa; Chordata; Mammalia; Perissodactyla; Rhinocerotidae.